This 328-nucleotide ribosomal RNA is filed under the name uncultured bacterium. Its description in RNAcentral is "bacterial SSU rRNA". It matches the Rfam family "Bacterial small subunit ribosomal RNA", at positions 28 to 334 of the family's 1533-position model. The record is from RNAcentral.
GAUGAACGCUGGCGGCGUGCUUAACACAUGCAAGUCGAGCGAAGCACUUAGGUUCGAUUCUUCGGAUGAAGACUUUUGUGACUGAGCGGCGACGGGUGAAGUACGCGUAGGUAACCUGCCAAGAGACUGGGAUAACACCUGGAAACAGAUGCUAAUACCGGAUAACAACACUAGACGCAUGUCUAGAGUUUGAAAGAUGGUUCUGCUAUCACUCUUGGAUGGACCUGCGGUGCAUUAGCUAGUUGGUAAGGUAACGGCUUACCAAGGCAAUGAUGCAUAGCCGAGUUGAGAGACUGAUCGGCCACAUUGGGACUGAGACACGGCCCAA